Small nuclear RNA from Microtus oregoni (creeping vole), 108 nucleotides. The record is from RefSeq and is a predicted model, not a curated record. Lineage: Eukaryota; Metazoa; Chordata; Mammalia; Rodentia; Cricetidae.
GUGCUCGCUUCCGCAGCACAUAUACUAAAAUUGGAACGAUACAGAGACGAUUAGCAUGGCCCCUGCGCAAGGAUGACAAGAGAAAAAAAAGAAGAAAAAAAAAAAAGA